This 457-nucleotide ribosomal RNA is filed under the name uncultured bacterium. Its description in RNAcentral is "partial 16S ribosomal RNA". It matches the Rfam family "Bacterial small subunit ribosomal RNA", at positions 338 to 795 of the family's 1533-position model. The record is from RNAcentral.
CCUACGGGUGGCAGCAGUGGGGAAUAUUGCACAAUGGGGGAAACCCUGAUGCAGCGACGCCGCGUGAGUGCAGAAGUAUUUCGGUACGUAAAGCUCUAUCAGCAGGGAAGAAAAAAAGUCCUUUGGACUUUGGACGGUACCUGACCAAGAAGCCCCGGCUAACUACGUGCCAGCAGCCGCGGUAAUACGUAGGGGGCAAUCGUUAUCCGGAUUUACUGGGUGUAAAGGGAGCGUAGACGGCGAUGCAAGUCUGAAGUGAAAGGCGGGGGCCCAACCCCCGGACUGCUUUGGAAACUGUAUGGCUGGAGUGCAGGAUAGGUAAGUGGAAUUCCUAGUGUAGCGGUGAAAUGCGUAGAUAUUAGGAGGAACACCAGUGGCGAAGGCGGCUUACUGGACUGUAACUGACGUUGAGGCUCGAAAGCGUGGGGAGCAAACAGGAUUAGAUACCCCUGUAGUC